Molecule: unclassified non-coding RNA, 236 nt
Filed under: Hevea brasiliensis (rubber tree)
Lineage: Eukaryota; Viridiplantae; Streptophyta; Magnoliopsida; Malpighiales; Euphorbiaceae
Source: RNAcentral
GUGACACUUAGAUUAUAUGGACAAUGUUGUAGAUUCAUAGAAUUGCAUGCAUUCCAUUGUCUGCACAUCUAAUUCAUAUGACUAUGACUUGAUUUAGCUAUCAGCUCACAGCUAUGAAGCACAGAAACUUUAGGGUACCAGAGUUUUUCAGAAAUGAAACUGAAACUCUAGGAAACUUUCCUGAAAAGUUUUGGGGCUGUUUCUGUGAUUUAGAAAAAAUUGGAAACACAUUUUUA